This 465-nucleotide ribosomal RNA is filed under the name Vreelandella stevensii. Its description in RNAcentral is "partial 16S ribosomal RNA". It matches the Rfam family "Bacterial small subunit ribosomal RNA", at positions 338 to 795 of the family's 1533-position model. Lineage: Bacteria; Pseudomonadati; Pseudomonadota; Gammaproteobacteria; Oceanospirillales; Halomonadaceae. The record is from RNAcentral.
CCUACGGGGUGCAGCAGUGGGGAAUAUUGGACAAUGGGCGAAAGCCUGAUCCAGCCAUGCCGCGUGUGUGAAGAAGGCCUUCGGGUUGUAAAGCACUUUCAGUGGGGAAGAAAGCCUUGGGGCUAAUACCCUCGAGGAAGGACAUCACCCACAGAAGAAGCACCGGCUAACUCCGUGCCAGCAGCCGCGGUAAUACGGAGGGUGCGAGCGUUAAUCGGAAUUACUGGGCGUAAAGCGCGCGUAGGCGGUCUGAUAAGCCGGUUGUGAAAGCCCCGGGCUCAACCUGGGAACGGCAUCCGGAACUGUCAGGCUAGAGUGCAGGAGAGGAAGGUAGAAUUCCCGGUGUAGCGGUGAAAUGCGUAGAGAUCGGGAGGAAUACCAGUGGCGAAGGCGGCCUUCUGGACUGACACUGACGCUGAGGUGCGAAAGCGUGGGUAGCAAACAGGAUUAGAUACCUCAGUAGUC